GUUCCUUCCGGGACAUCCAAUAAAAUUUGAAGGAUACAGAUCAAGAAGAUUAGCAUGGUUCAUCCGCAAGGAUGACACAUAUAAAUCAAUAAAUGAUCCGAUUCUUU
Molecule: small nuclear RNA, 107 nt
Organism: Rosa chinensis
Lineage: Eukaryota; Viridiplantae; Streptophyta; Magnoliopsida; Rosales; Rosaceae
Source: RefSeq, a predicted model, not a curated record